GUUAGCCAUUUAACUAACGUACUUAUUAGCUGUCUCUACUACAGUGGUUUAUAGUAGCUGAACAGAGGCGGGCGCUGGUUCCUGCUGUUGGGGUUUUCAUGUGUGUCGUUAUGCCAUAUCUCUAUCUCAAGUUCUGUCCUGAAUAAUUGGAUACGGGUUGAAAAUGGAUUCGCAAGUUGAGCUUCAGCAAACAGCAGAUAACUGCACUUCGGCUGAAUCAACAGAUCAUCCCCCGAGGAUGACCAGACAGCAGACUCUCACCCUAAUAUCAAUGGCAUCUGUCAACUUCAGUUCAAUGAUCUGUUACUCAAUAUUAGGCCCCUUUUUCCCCAAUGAGGCAGUCAAGAAGGGAGCCAGUCAAACUGUCAUUGGUCUCAUAUUUGGCUGCUACGCUGCCUGCAAUUUCAUUGGCUCGUUGAUAAUGGGGAAAUAUAUUGUCCAAAUUGGUGCAAAGUUUAUGCUUGUGAUGGGGCUUUUUGUUUCAUCAGGCUGCACCAUUCUGUUUGGGUUACUCAAUCGGGUACCUGCAGGACCCGUUUUCAUAACCCUGUGCUUCGUAGUGAGGUCCAUAGACGCUUUAGGCUUUGCUGCUGCGAUGACCUCCUCUUUUGCCAUGACAGCAAAAAUAUUCCCAAACAAUGUGGCAACUGUUUUGGGUAGUUUAGAGAUUUUCACAGGACUUGGUCUUAUUCUGGGGCCACCGGUCGGAGGGUGGUUCUACCAGUCUUUUGGAUAUGAAGUCCCUUUUAUGCUUCUUGGAUGUUUCCUGUUGAUUAUGGUUCCAGUCAACAUAUACAUCUUGCCAAAGAUAGAUUCAGCCCCCUCGAAGGAUUCAUUCUUUCGACUUCUCACCAAAGCGAAAAUCGUCCUGAUCUGCUAUGUGAUAUUCACUCAGAGUGCAGGACUGGGCUUAUUGGAUGCCUCUUUGUCCCUGUUUGCUAUGGAGAGGUUUACUCUCUCAUCUGGCUACGUGGGACUCAUAAUGCUCGGUUUGUCGUUACCAUACUGUCUGGCAUCACCGCUGAUUGGGUAUUUUACUGAUAAAUAUCCUUCCACCAGGUCUUGGUUCAUGGUGAUAGGAGGUGUCACCACAGCCAUUGGCUUCUCAAUGCUCGGUCCCGUACCUUUCCUUCACAUCCCGAGUAAUCUGUGGUUGCUGAUCAUCAUGCUUGGUGUAAUUGGGUUUUCUCUGGGCAUGACUGCAAUCCCCACGUUCCCUGAGAUCAUCACAUGUGCAAAGGAACAAGGAUAUGAAGAAGGAUUAAGCAGUCUUGGAAUGGUGUCUGGACUGUUUGGGGCAGUUUGGUCCAUGGGGAUGUUUUAUGGCCCAAUAGUGGGUGGCCUUAUCACGCAACAUCUGAGCUUUGAGUCGGCAGCUGCGGUCCAAGGAGGCUUGGCGCUUUUGGGUUUACUCACAUGAAACUCAAUGACCACACUGUUCUCAGGCCCUUCUCCUCGCUGUGUAUUAUCUGUGUCAUCCCCCGCAACAUCAAAGCGUUCGAGAAGAUAGUCUACGAACAGAUGAAAACACUCCUCUCCUGACUGAAUGAUGCCCUCAGCAACAUGUGGAAGGACGCCAUACCGUACAAAACAUGAUCUUAAUGUCUCAGCUGCUCUGGGCAUCAGCCUCCAAGUUAUACACAUGGUUCCAUUGUUAUUAUUAACAAUAGCUUUUUGAUAUAUUUUAAAGUUACACAUUUUUGGUGUGGCAGGGACUGUGAUGCUUUCUACUUAGAUCAUGGAAAUAUUGGCCUAAAAGCCUAAAAACAAAGCGGUACGAACUUUAAGAUUGUACAAUUUAAAUAGAUUAUUUCACAUUGUAAAUUAUUAUGAAUGAAUAUAGUCAACCACUGGAAAGUCCAGACAAGCUCAAUGUGUCUUUUGUUCUAAAGCUCUGCUGUAUUAAUGAUCUUAGUUUUCUACAUCACAUGAACCGACUUUCAUGUUGAAGUUACACAAGUUAAGAGCUGCUGACCACGUUCAUGGUAACAUGAAGGGAAUAAGCACCGUCAUAGUAAGCCUCAUAACAUUCAGUAUAAUUUAUUGUAACAGGGAGCAUUGUGUCAUAUUUCACUCCAGUUAGUGAUUUUGUAUGUUGUGCCUUCUUUUCCGACUGAACAAUUUGAAGAUGUUUGCACCGAUUUAUUUUGCACUAAAUAAAAACCGUAAAUAUAUGAAGGAAAAACA
Molecule: RNA transcript, 2187 nt
Organism: Sander lucioperca (pikeperch)
Lineage: Eukaryota; Metazoa; Chordata; Actinopteri; Perciformes; Percidae
Gene: slc18b1
Gene name: solute carrier family 18 member B1
Exons: 14
Source: RefSeq, a predicted model, not a curated record